UUGGACCUUUAAGUCAGCAAAGGCAAUAGGAAUGAACACUUACUAUCCUGGUUUGUUAUUUUUACCACUGGGAGAUCCUGCUGUAGAGCUGGCUGGUCGCUGUUGGUUGAUGACUUCCAUCCGAUCGCUGCCGACCACUGACUGAGUUCCCAGAGGAUAAGACGGGGAACACGUCAUAUCCUACGCAAGCAGAAAGCUGAGCCCGGUGGAACGAAAGUACAGCGCAACAGAAAAGGAGUGUCUUGCGAUAUAUUGGGGGAUAAACAAGUACAAGAUGUAGUGACAGACCAAAUGGCUCUAAGUGGUUAAACUCGAUAGAAAAUGGCACGAUGGCACUGGUAUAGAAAAGGAAAGUUUAACGCAGUAGCGGAUGCGCUGUCCAGGAUCCCCAAUCCCCAGUUAAAAACAAUUGAGACGAAGAGCUGGUGGAAACAAAAGUACAGGGAAGUGGACAAUAACCAGGACAACGAAGAGUUCCGGAUAGAAGAAGGGAGGCUAUAUAAACAAAACACGGACCGAGGAGACCAGGAGGUCCAACAGGUGCUCGCGGAGAAACAUAACACAGCAGAAGCAGGACACCUGGGAACCUUUAAGACAUUGAGAAGGGUGAGUGACCGAUUCUUCUGGCCACUCUCGAGAGACGUCAAAAAAUUCGUAAAAGGGUGCCUGUGCUGUCAAAGAUACAAAGUUUCACAACAGAAAAGAGCAGGAAUAAUGCUUACGAAGAUUGCGAAAGCACCAUUCGAGACUACCGAUGAUCGCACAGCUUUCGCACAGACAUGGGACGAACAGGUAACAGAGCUAAUGUUAGCAUAUAAUACCAGCGCCUCAGAAUCGACGAAAAUACAGUCCUGCACAACUCGUGUUUGGUAGGGAGCUCAGACUUCCAAGUGUGCCGUUUGAUACGGUAACACGGGGGUCGGAAAUGAGGGCGGAAAACGUAGAGGCGAGGUGGAGAAGGCUGAAAGAUGUACGAAGACAGGCAACGAUACACAUGAAAGACGCCGCAGAACAGCAAAAGCGCCACUAUAACUUACGGAAUUCGAAUUCAACACUACGAAAGCUUCAUUACAAAACCAACACUAAUUCAUUUACACCAUCACACUAACCAAUGUACAUCACAGUAUACAAUACACAACACUAAUACGUUGCACAACUCUACACAACAAGAAAAAUAACGACGCAAUUAAAUUCUUUUACAGCGCACAAACAAACAUGAGGCAGCGAUUCGAAGAAAGCUUAAAAAAGUUUCGGGAAACACACCAGAAAAUUAAAGCCGCUACGGACAACCAAGAACACCAGAUGCCCCAGCUAGACAACCGUGUGGCAGGCACACCCCAGCCGCAGCCAACUCCGAUCACGACGACCCCACGCCACGACGACCGGGUGGCAACCACAUCCCGAUGGCAGUCAAAAUCGCAGACUCCAACCAAACCACCGCAGCCAACUCCAAUCACGCCGACCCAUUAUGCGAUAUGGAAAACAAAUGUCGUGCCUGAUAAGGGACGAAGGGAAGACAUGGAGAGUAACCAUCUCCCGGGCCAACGUCGUCAAGAUUAGGGAGCACACCUUUUCCUAAAGGAGGGGGGAGCUGUGACGCUCCGAUACAUGCACAUAGUAGCAUACGAGAAAAACAUGAAGUACAUAGUAGCAUAAGAGAAAAACAUGAAGUAAACAUAUUUAGUUAGAACCUAUUUUAUGUUUGAACGGAAAAACAUGAAGUAAAUAUAUUUAAUUAAAACAUAUAAACAUGGAAUCAAAUUAUGAAGUAAAACGCACAACCCGCAUUCGAGUUCAAACACAAUGCGCGCGCGCGCCAAGAUCACGCGCGAAGGGUCACACUGGCCCAACAUAGAUCGGCCACACUAAUACAGCAUUAAAUCGGUUGGGAUAUGCGGGCACACUAUCCGCUGCCAAACCGCUAUAUAAGGCGCACCCCAGCCCUCUAGAAGUCAUUCAGUUCGGCCGGCGAUCGGCAAAAAGACCUCCAGGAAGAGGAGCUACCAGGAGCAGGAUCAGAGGCAGUGGGGAAAUUAUCGGCGACGUGACGCGACGACCGAGUAAGCGGCCAUCUCGGGAGUCCAGCACCCACCCGUAUCCAUCGCAGAGCUAUACAACCCCUCCAGGGACGAGACCAGGCACGCCCGAAUAAAGACCCAAUUAUUGUAUCAUUCUCUCGUCUUAUCCUCUGGGACCCGGGUCGGAUUCUCUUCCAACAACCCCACCUGAAUCAAAUAAAUAUCUGAGACGACUCCUGGCCAUCCUUGAGCCAUCCGAGCACUGACAAAUCGUCCCAUAAUAUUAUUAAAUAUCAAUUUAGGCAGGCGCACUAACAACCAUACGCGACUCUCUCUUCCGCGAGAAGUCAUUUUCCAAAAUAAUUUUAAAGGUGUGUAUAAGACUAAAAAAAAAUUGUAGCAUCUCAAAUAGAUUGCGAGAUAUUAAUUUAUGCCAAAAAAACAUGUCCAAUUCCUCAUAGUGUACCAGCCCUUCAUCGAGUUCUUCGGCCUCCUGAGGACAUGAGGAGUCGCAGAACCCGGGCCCAAACACAAGUGGGCCGUGGUCAAUCGCUCCACCCUAGACUGCAAUGAUGUGGAGCGGCAGGUCCCUCAGGUCCCGCAGGUCCACUGUCACAACAUCGUAAUAGAGUUGUAUGUCAGUGAGGAAAGUGGGGAAUUCAUCGCCGAACGAUGCCUUAAACUACGUUACUGCUCCUGGCAACUUCGAUUCAGUUUUGAUUGCUAGGACGUUUUUGGGUUUUGAACAGCCCAACGUUAAGAGUAACAGCUGUAAAGUCGGGUAUUGCAAACAUAAAGCACGUGCCAUCGGGGAGCUGCGAUUUUUAGUGCUUAUUAAAACGGAUAUUUCUUCAACCACAAGGCCUAAAUCCAUUAAAUUUUAAAUGAAAACUCA
Molecule: long non-coding RNA, 2913 nt
Organism: Drosophila yakuba
Lineage: Eukaryota; Metazoa; Arthropoda; Insecta; Diptera; Drosophilidae
Exons: 2
Source: RefSeq, a predicted model, not a curated record